The sequence is a regulatory RNA element, 133 nucleotides long. It matches the Rfam family "Ribosomal protein L10 leader". Rfam says of the family: This family is a putative r-protein leader autoregulatory structure found in B. subtilis and other low-GC Gram-positive bacteria. The record is from Rfam.
AUUUUGAAAAUGAUUCUACCUAAGACUCAGGCGGCAAAUGCCUUAAUAUUACCUGGCGAGGAAUUUGAGUGAAUAAUUUUACUUUAAAACUUUCUCUAUGUCUUGGUGGACAUAGGGUUUUUUUAAACCCUGA